This 451-nucleotide ribosomal RNA is filed under the name uncultured bacterium 'eubacterium sp.'. RNAcentral's name for it is "bacterial SSU rRNA". It matches the Rfam family "Bacterial small subunit ribosomal RNA", at positions 28 to 507 of the family's 1533-position model. RNAcentral also lists the same sequence under 1 other name. The record is from RNAcentral.
GAUGAAUGCUGGCGGCGUGCCUAACACAUGCAAGUCGAGCGGCAGCGCGAGUAGUUUACUACUUGGCGGCGAGCGGCGGACGGCUGAGUAACACGUGGGAACAUACCCCAAAGUGAGGGAUAACUGCCCGAAAGGGUGGCUAAUACCGCAUAUGAUCUUCGGAUUAAAGUCUUCGGACGCUUUGGGAGCGGCCCGCGUCGGAUUAGGUUGUUGGUGAGGUAAUGACUCACCAAGCCGACGAUCCGUAGCUGGUCUGAGAGGAUGAUCAGCCAGACUGGGACUGAGACACGGCCCAGACUCCUACGGGAGGCAGCAGUGAGGAAUCUUCCACAAUGGGCGAAAGCCUGAUGGAGCAACGCCGCGUGCAGGAUGAAGGCCUUCGGGUUGUAAACUGCUUUUAUAAGUGAAGAAUAUGACGGUAACUUAUGAAUAAGCACCGGCUAACUACGUG